RNAcentral lists this ribosomal RNA (462 nucleotides) under uncultured bacterium. Its description in RNAcentral is "bacterial SSU rRNA". It matches the Rfam family "Bacterial small subunit ribosomal RNA", at positions 29 to 507 of the family's 1533-position model. The record is from RNAcentral.
AUUGAACGCUGGCGGAAUGCUUUACACAUGCAAGUCGAACGGUAGAGGGGGCAACCCCUCGAGAGUGGCGAACGGGUGAGUAAUAUAUCGGAACGUGCCCAGUCGUGGGGGAUAACGUAGCGAAAGUUACGCUAAUACCGCAUACGAUCUAAGGAUGAAAGCGGGGGACUCGCAAGAGCCUCGCGCGAUUGGAGCGGCCGAUAUCAGAUUAGGUAGUUGGUGGGGUAAAGGCUCACCAAGCCAACGAUCUGUAGCUGGUCUGAGAGGACGACCAGCCACACUGGAACUGAGACACGGCCCAGACUCCUACGGGAGGCAGCAGUGGGGAAUAUUGCACAAUGGGCGAAAGCCUGAUGCAGCAACGCCGCGUGAGGGAUGAAGGCCUUCGGGUUGUAAACCUCUUUUAGCAGGGAAGAAGCGAAAGUGACGGUACCUGCAGAAAAAGCACCGGCUAACUACGUG